RNAcentral lists this long non-coding RNA (1264 nucleotides) under Citrus maxima (pomelo). Its description in RNAcentral is "long non-coding RNA (CMAX_LNC002388)". Lineage: Eukaryota; Viridiplantae; Streptophyta; Magnoliopsida; Sapindales; Rutaceae. The record is from RNAcentral.
AUGCUGAGAUUUACUUUACCAAAAUGUUUACAAACUUUAUAGUCUGACCUACAGUAAAACCCGAAGGCCUCUUUUUGAGAUUGAGGUGAAAACAUUAUAAGCCAUUUGUUUCGUAAGUUUUGAUAAAAAUUGUGUUUGGUAAAUUCUUUGAAAGUUAUUUAUUUAACAAUUGAAACAUUAUUAGCAGCUACUCGCUUGUAUCAUAUGUUUUGAUAAAAUGGUGUUUUAUAAAUUUUUUAUAAGUUUUUUUUUUUUGAGUAAAUUCUUCUAUUUUGACAUUAGAUUUUAAAAGGAGGUAUAUGGAUGGCAAAAUUCGGGUCCGAACACCAUUUUCUUCUUUCCGGACCCGGAUUAAAACUUGGUUUUUUUUCAUUCGGGUCCAAAACGGGUUCAACCCGGAAAAAUUCGAGUUUUCGAAUUCUGGGUUUUGAACCUGGAUCAAUAUUCGGGUUUUCGAAUUCUGGGUUUUGAACCUGGAUCAAUGAAUUAGUUUCUAAAAUUCUAAAAAUAAAAUCUUUAUACAUUUCCAAUCAAUAACACAUUCGGAUUGUAAAUCAUCCAUAAACAAUACAAAUUUCUAAACAAUAACACAUCCAAUAAUAUAAAUCCAUAAAUGUCAAUAUUUCAAUUAAUAAAACAACCACAAAUAUUUCUACAUAAUUUUCUAUGAAACCUGCAAACAUCGGGCUUGAUGUCUUGAAAGCGACGACCUUCUUGGCUUGCAUGAUGUCACAAAGCGGAAAUAAUUAGCACGUUAAUCCAAGGUAAAGCCCUUGUUUGGUUGCAAAGGAAAUGAAGGAAGAUCCAUGGAUUAGUUAAAGAUUAAUCCAGUCAUUUGGUCUCCUGCGGCAAAAUCGAAGAUGUAAACGAAUGGAGUUUAAGAGAGACAGAGAGCGGGGCAAACCGAAUAAAGGAGCGGUGUUGAGGUCGAACCCGAGCUUGCGACGGCAGCAGCCUGGACCGAUGAUGAUGAAUAGGCACUUUUCCUGCAGUAGCCAGCAGGCGACAGCUGCGAUAUGAGGAAGAUGAAUAGAUAAAAUUAGUUUUUGUUGUUGUUGUUGUUUGUAUUUAUAUUAGUUAAUAAAUAUAAUUAAAAAAUAAUAUUAAAAUAAGAUAUUCGAGUUUCAGAUAUACGGGUUAACUCAAACCCGGAAUCGGACCCGGAUAUAUCCGGGUCACUAAAAUUCAUUCCGAUACGGGUUCAACCCGACUCAAAUUUUUUGGGUUCGUCUGGGUCCGGGUUAAAUUGCCAUCCCUAAGAAGG